Molecule: transfer RNA, 72 nt
Filed under: Ovis aries (sheep)
Lineage: Eukaryota; Metazoa; Chordata; Mammalia; Artiodactyla; Bovidae
Also listed under: 1 other name
Rfam family: tRNA
About the family: Transfer RNA (tRNA) molecules are approximately 80 nucleotides in length. Their secondary structure includes four short double-helical elements and three loops (D, anti-codon, and T loops).
Source: Rfam by way of RNAcentral
UCCCUGGUGGCUCAGACGGUAAAGCAUCUGCCUGCAAUGUGGGAGACCUGGGUUCGAUUCCUGGGUCGGGAA